CAGCCGCCGCGGUAAUACGUAGGGUGCAAGCGUUAAUCGGAAUUACUGGGCGUAAAGCGUGCGCAGGCGGUUUUGUAAGUCUGUCGUGAAAUCCCCGGGCUCAACCUGGGAAUGGCGAUGGAGACUGCAAGGCUAGAAUCUGGCAGAGGGGGGUAGAAUUCCACGUGUAGCAGUGAAAUGCGUAGAUAUGUGGAGGAACACCGAUGGCGAAGGCAGCCCCCUGGGCUAAGAUUGACGCUCAUGCACGAAAGCGUGGGGAGCAAACAGGAUUAGAUACCCCCGUAGUCCCUGUCUCUUAUAC
Molecule: ribosomal RNA, 301 nt
Filed under: uncultured bacterium
Lineage: Bacteria
Description: partial 16S ribosomal RNA
Rfam family: Bacterial small subunit ribosomal RNA
Source: RNAcentral